RNAcentral lists this ribosomal RNA (253 nucleotides) under uncultured prokaryote. RNAcentral's name for it is "partial 16S ribosomal RNA". It matches the Rfam family "Bacterial small subunit ribosomal RNA", at positions 524 to 776 of the family's 1533-position model. The record is from RNAcentral.
GACAGAGGAUGCAAGCGUUAUCCGGAAUGAUUGGGCGUAAAGCGUCUGUAGGUGGCUUUUUAAGUCUGCCGUCAAAUCCCAGGGCUCAACCCUGGACAGGCGGUGGAAACUACCAAGCUAGAGUACGGUAGGGGCAGAGGGAAUUUCCGGGGGAGCGGUGAAAUGCGUAGAGAUCCGGAAGAACACCGGUGGCGAAGGCGGCCUGCUGGGCAGUGGCUGACGCUGAGGCGCGACAGCGUGGGGAGCAAACAGG